AUUUAUCUAUUUGACAGAACUGAGUAGUUACUGUCUGCUCUAAGUAUUCACUACAGAUACAAGAAAAAAGUGUCCUUGUAUGUUCUGUCUGAUUAUGGCCGCCAAGAUUGAAUAGGGGAAAACAUGG
RNAcentral lists this small nucleolar RNA (127 nucleotides) under Microcebus murinus (gray mouse lemur). RNAcentral describes it as "Small nucleolar RNA SNORA31 (ENSMICG00000031186.2)". The record is from RNAcentral. Lineage: Eukaryota; Metazoa; Chordata; Mammalia; Primates; Cheirogaleidae.